UGAGGAAUAUUGGGCAAUGCCCGCAAGGGUGACCCAGCAACGCCGCGUGGAGGAUGAAUGUCGUAAGAUUGUAAACUCCUGUUAGAGGGGAAGAAUAGUACCGGUUGGACCGGUGUAUGACUGUACCCUCAGAGAAAGCCCCGGCUAACUACGUGCCAGCAGCCGCGGUAAUACGUAGGGGGCAAGCGUUGUCCGGAUUUACUGGGUGUAAAGGGCGCGCAGGCGGGAUAAAAAGUCAGUUGUGAAAUCCUACAGCUUAACUGUAGAACUGCCUUGGAUACUUUUAGUCUUGAGUUCGGGAGAGAGGGACGGAAUUCCAGGUGUAGUGGUGAAAUACGUAGAUAUCUGGAAGAACACCAGUUGCGAAGGCGGUCUCUUGGUCCGACACUGACGCUGAGGCGCGAAAGCGUGGGGAGCAAACA
RNAcentral lists this ribosomal RNA (422 nucleotides) under uncultured bacterium. RNAcentral describes it as "bacterial SSU rRNA". It matches the Rfam family "Bacterial small subunit ribosomal RNA", at positions 355 to 774 of the family's 1533-position model. The record is from RNAcentral.